AUGAAGGUGCAGCAGGAGAGGAACAAACUCCAAGAUGCCCACACCCAGCUUGGAGAAGAGCUAAAAGGUGUUCGGGCCCAGCUGUCUGGCUCCGUGAAGGAGAAUCAGUGGCUUCGUCGCGGCAUCUAUAGUGUGCUCACAGGUCGCCCUGCGGAGGAAAUGCCCGGUUCAACGGGUGACCAGCUUCCCGAGCUGCUGCAACAGCACGAACGUGUUCGGCAGGCGAUGGGUGGCGUCGUCGAGGCCUUAUGGCCGUCCGUCUCCCUACCCGAGGGUCUUGGAGGGCUUGCGGAGAAGCUUCAGGGAGCACGGCAGCGCUUCCAUCUAUGGAAGAUAUCGGCAUGUCGUCAAGGCGCCAGGGAGGCCUGGGCCAUGGUGAAGACGCAGUACAAGAAGGCGGAUCCGAACCACAUGGCCGAGGUCGGACCUGUGGGGCCCGAUGGGAAGGAGAUCCCUAUGAGCUUAGUGUACGGCCAAGUAGAGUUGGCCGCUAAGUAUUCCCAACGGGACUGUAAAUUAGACAGCCUGUUAGAUGGGAUUGAAGAGGAGUACAAUCAGUCGAUGUGA
Molecule: ribosomal RNA, 567 nt
Filed under: Triticum aestivum (bread wheat)
Lineage: Eukaryota; Viridiplantae; Streptophyta; Magnoliopsida; Poales; Poaceae
Description: partial small subunit ribosomal RNA
Source: RNAcentral